RNAcentral lists this ribosomal RNA (104 nucleotides) under uncultured bacterium. RNAcentral describes it as "partial 16S ribosomal RNA". The record is from RNAcentral.
AAGGCCUUCGGGUUGUAAAGCACUUUCAUCGGGAGCGAAACACUAUCGGUUAAUAACCGGUGGGCUGACGGUACCCGAGGAAUAAGCACCGGCUAACUUCGUGC